RNAcentral lists this ribosomal RNA (253 nucleotides) under uncultured bacterium. RNAcentral describes it as "partial 16S ribosomal RNA". It matches the Rfam family "Bacterial small subunit ribosomal RNA", at positions 524 to 776 of the family's 1533-position model. The record is from RNAcentral.
GACGUAGGGUCCGAGCGUUGUCCGGAGUUACUGGGCGUAAAGAGCUCGUAGGCGGUUUGUCGCGUCUGCCGUGAAAGUCCGGGGCUCAACUCCGGAUCUGCGGUGGGUACGGGCAGACUAGAGUGAUGUAGGGGAGACUGGAAUUCCUGGUGUAGCGGUGAAAUGCGCAGAUAUCAGGAGGAACACCGAUGGCGAAGGCAGGUCUCUGGGCAUUAACUGACGCUGAGGAGCGAAAGCAUGGGGAGCGAACAGG